UGCUCACUUUGGCAGCAAUAUACUAAAAUUGGAAUGACACAGAGAAGAUUAGCAUGGCCCCUGUGCAAGGAUGACACACAAAUUUGUGAAAUGUUCCAUAUUUUU
RNAcentral lists this small nuclear RNA (105 nucleotides) under Jaculus jaculus (lesser Egyptian jerboa). The record is from RNAcentral. Lineage: Eukaryota; Metazoa; Chordata; Mammalia; Rodentia; Dipodidae.